This 1503-nucleotide ribosomal RNA is filed under the name Salmonella enterica subsp. enterica. RNAcentral describes it as "partial 23S ribosomal RNA". It matches the Rfam family "Bacterial large subunit ribosomal RNA", at positions 1294 to 2780 of the family's 2925-position model. The record is from RNAcentral. Lineage: Bacteria; Pseudomonadati; Pseudomonadota; Gammaproteobacteria; Enterobacterales; Enterobacteriaceae.
AUGCUGACAUAAGUAACGAUAAAGCGGGUGAAAAGCCCGCUCGCCGGAAGACCAAGGGUUCCUGUCCAACGUUAAUCGGGGCAGGGUGAGUCGACCCCUAAGGCGAGGCCGAAAGGCGUAGUCGAUGGGAAACGGGUUAAUAUUCCCGUACUUGGUGUUACUGCGAAGGGGGGACGGAGAAGGCUAUGUUGGCCGGGCGACGGUUGUCCCGGUUUAAGCGUGUAGGUGUGUGUUCCAGGUAAAUCCGGUUCACUUUAACACUGAGGCGUGAUGACGAGGCACUACGGUGCUGAAGCAACAAAUGCCCUGCUUCCAGGAAAAGCCUCUAAGCAUCAGGUAACAUCAAAUCGUACCCCAAACCGACACAGGUGGUCAGGUAGAGAAUACCAAGGCGCUUGAGAGAACUCGGGUGAAGGAACUAGGCAAAAUGGUGCCGUAACUUCGGGAGAAGGCACGCUGACACGUAGGUGAAGUGAUUUACUCAUGGAGCUGAAGUCAGUCGAAGAUACCAGCUGGCUGCAACUGUUUAUUAAAAACACAGCACUGUGCAAACACGAAAGUGGACGUAUACGGUGUGACGCCUGCCCGGUGCCGGAAGGUUAAUUGAUGGGGUCAGCGCAAGCGAAGCUCCUGAUCGAAGCCCCGGUAAACGGCGGCCGUAACUAUAACGGUCCUAAGGUAGCGAAAUUCCUUGUCGGGUAAGUUCCGACCUGCACGAAUGGCGUAAUGAUGGCCAGGCUGUCUCCACCCGAGACUCAGUGAAAUUGAACUCGCUGUGAAGAUGCAGUGUACCCGCGGCAAGACGGAAAGACCCCGUGAACCUUUACUAUAGCUUGACACUGAACAUUGAGCCUUGAUGUGUAGGAUAGGUGGGAGGCUUUGAAGCGUGGACGCCAGUCUGCGUGGAGCCGACCUUGAAAUACCACCCUUUAAUGUUUGAUGUUCUAACGUGGACCCGUAAUCCGGGUUGCGGACAGUGUCUGGUGGGUAGUUUGACUGGGGCGGUCUCCUCCUAAAGAGUAACGGAGGAGCACGAAGGUUGGCUAAUCCUGGUCGGACAUCAGGAGGUUAGUGCAAUGGCAUAAGCCAGCUUGACUGCGAGCGUGACGGCGCGAGCAGGUGCGAAAGCAGGUCAUAGUGAUCCGGUGGUUCUGAAUGGAAGGGCCAUCGCUCAACGGAUAAAAGGUACUCCGGGGAUAACAGGCUGAUACCGCCCAAGAGUUCAUAUCGACGGCGGUGUUUGGCACCUCGAUGUCGGCUCAUCACAUCCUGGGGCUGAAGUAGGUCCCAAGGGUAUGGCUGUUCGCCAUUUAAAGUGGUACGCGAGCUGGGUUUAGAACGUCGUGAGACAGUUCGGUCCCUAUCUGCCGUGGGCGCUGGAGAACUGAGGGGGGCUGCUCCUAGUACGAGAGGACCGGAGUGGACGCAUCACUGGUGUUCGGGUUGUCAUGCCAAUGGCACUGCCCGGUAGCUAAAUGCGGAAGAGAUAAGUGCUGAAAGCAU